Molecule: transfer RNA, 73 nt
Filed under: Bos taurus (domestic cattle)
Lineage: Eukaryota; Metazoa; Chordata; Mammalia; Artiodactyla; Bovidae
Also listed under: 1 other name
Rfam family: tRNA
About the family: Transfer RNA (tRNA) molecules are approximately 80 nucleotides in length.
Source: Rfam by way of RNAcentral
UCCCUGGUGGUCCAGUGGUUAGGACUCUGCAGUCUCAUUGCUGAGGGCCGGGGUUCAAUCCCUGGUCAGGGAA